Molecule: transfer RNA, 87 nt
Filed under: Candidatus Moraniibacteriota bacterium
Lineage: Bacteria; Candidatus Moraniibacteriota
Description: tRNA-Ser
Rfam family: tRNA
About the family: Transfer RNA (tRNA) molecules are approximately 80 nucleotides in length. Their secondary structure includes four short double-helical elements and three loops (D, anti-codon, and T loops).
Source: RNAcentral
GGAGAGGUGCCUGAGUGGCUGAAAGGGGCACCCUGCUAAGGUGUUGUACUUUUACGAGUACCGAGAGUUCGAAUCUCUCCCUCUCCG